Molecule: long non-coding RNA, 1249 nt
Organism: Canis lupus familiaris (dog)
Lineage: Eukaryota; Metazoa; Chordata; Mammalia; Carnivora; Canidae
Exons: 4
Source: RefSeq, a predicted model, not a curated record
GUGGGCGGGAGGGGCUGGGGUGCACCCGCCCAUGGGGUCCAAGAGGAGCCUAGAGCCCAAGGGCCUGCAGGCUUCUGCUCAGUGGAAGCUGCUGCAGGCCACAGGGACCUCGGAUCUAAGGAAUCUCAUUCCCUUGCAAGAUAUCUGAGAAGAGUUCCUUUUCAGUAAAGCCGUCCUAUAAAGGAGCCUCCAGCUUGGUUUCAUUUUGGGCUGAACACCUACCUGGUCUUCCUUCAGUGUCUCCUUUGCUUGGUCAGAGAUGCCAAGAAACUGGAGUAGCAGCUACAACUUUAUCUGGCACAGUCUGGCAAAUCCAUCAACACUAAAAUUCCAACAGAUGACAUGUGCCCUUGAAUUCUCUGGUGAUGACAGAGAACUGCAAAAGCCAGGAUGGAUGCAGAUCCUGGAAAAGAGGAGGGAAUCCCAGGAGGAUAGAGAGAGCCCAGAUCAAACCUCAAUGGGAUUUUCUAAGACAGCCCGACUUUUCUUCACUGCGACCCUGAUCUCAAGUCUACUGUGGGGGGACAGAGGCCCACGCCCAGGGGAGAAGACUGCUGCGGCCAGUAAAACUGAGCACCGGGUGCAAUGGAGUAAGGAAGGAGGGGAAAGAACUGAAGGGGCUUUUUGGACAGUCCAAAGGAUCGGACAACCCCCUCAGUGGUUUUUUUUUUUUUUUUCCCUGUAGUGACCCCAUUCUGCCCCAUGGAUGUCACUUUUCUCUCUUUCUCUCCCUCCCUCGCUCUCUCCCCUUCUUUUUUGGAGGUUUUGGGGAGGGGAAGCAAGCUGAGGGAGGUGGGAAGAGACUUUUUUUCACAUGAGUCCUCAGAAUUACAGUUCACAAACUAUUCAGUAAACUGACCGGCCUCAACCUCCCCUUCAACGGCCUAAUCUAAGGGGUGGAUCUAUGUGUUUUGUUGCUUGUCAGAAACAAUCGCUGAGCGGCCCAUUACAUUUACAGCACGUCGCCCUUUAAUUGGUGUAACACGCUGAGGCCUGAAAGGAGGAGAGGCCCACAAAAGCGCCCGUGAAUGAGCCUUGACUCACACAAAAACACUCUGCAGAAGUUCAGAGCUGGCCACUAACAAGGAGGUAGGGAGUUAGUUUGAAAAGGGGGUGAAGUUCAGAAAUGUGUCACCUUGAGGAGCCUCCCAUCAAAGCAAUGGUCGCAUUGACAAGCUGCAAAGAAAAAAAGUUAAACCUUCAGGGCUGUGGACUUGCCUGCUGGAUUUAUUCUUUUUAAACUUGAGGA